GUAGGGAGCAAGCGUUGUCCGGAAUCAUUUGGGCGUAAAGCGCGCGUAGGUGGCCUCGUAAGUCCGCUGUAAAAGUCAAAGGCUCAACCUUUGAAAGCCGGUGGAUACUGACGGGCUAGAGUACGGGAAGAGGCGAGUGGAAUUCCUGGUGUAGCGGUGGAAUGCGCAGAUAUCAGGAGGAACACCAAUAGCGAAGGCAGCUCGCUGGGACGUUACUGACACUGAGGCGCGAAAGCGUGGGGAGCGAACAGG
This 252-nucleotide ribosomal RNA is filed under the name uncultured bacterium. RNAcentral's name for it is "partial 16S ribosomal RNA". It matches the Rfam family "Bacterial small subunit ribosomal RNA", at positions 527 to 776 of the family's 1533-position model. The record is from RNAcentral.